CCGGUUCGUACACUUUUCCCGUCACAUUAGAUAGGAAAAGUUCGGAACCCUCCCAUCACACAUGACAGUAAAAGUUCCGGUUAUUAACUAGUUAUGUAUUAAAUUUAACCCCUUAUUUAUAAGAAUGGCUGCUGGAAAGAAGACCUUUAGUACUGUAUGCCAUUGUGCAUCGGAGCAAGCCACAUGAAGGUUGCAAUAAAGAUGAUGGUAUGCUGAAAACUUCAGUCUUCACCUCUGAUGAUUUCCUGCAGCCUAGCACCUGGUAUACCUCUCAGUCUCACAUGUCUUCACUCUUUCUCGCGUUAGCGCAAGCAUAACUGCAUUAUCUGUUGAGGUCCCAUCAAAUGCACUUGCUGAAAUAUCUGGCAAAUAUUGUGGGAACAGAAACACAUGCUAACAAACGUUGUGGAGAAUGGAAAGACAAAUACUUGCCAAUUAAUGAUAAAAGAAAUGCCUAAUUUGAAGAAGAUGUGUCAAGAUGAACUCAAACAAUGGAACAUUUUAUAUAAUUUCUGUACUUGUUGGAUGGGCUGAAGCAUUCAUAAUGUGUCUCCAUAUCUUGUUAUGCCAAGCUUAGGACUGAUGUCAUCAUUAAGUCUUAGAUUCAAGCAAGUUCAAGUCGUAUUUACCUCUUCAUAUUUGAGUGAAAAGACAUCAAGAUCACAUUACAAACAUUGUUCUCUUUUAAUAAAAAUAAUUGUCAUAAAUUGUCUUACAAAUGCAA
Molecule: long non-coding RNA, 724 nt
Filed under: Amphimedon queenslandica
Lineage: Eukaryota; Metazoa; Porifera; Demospongiae; Haplosclerida; Niphatidae
Description: uncharacterized LOC109589857, transcript variant X2
Source: RNAcentral